This 63-nucleotide ribosomal RNA is filed under the name uncultured fungus. Its description in RNAcentral is "partial 28S ribosomal RNA". Lineage: Eukaryota; Fungi. The record is from RNAcentral.
AACUUGACCUCAAAUCAGGUAGGACUACCCGCUGAACUUAAGCAUAUCAAUAAGGCGGAGGAA